RNAcentral lists this ribosomal RNA (311 nucleotides) under uncultured eukaryote. RNAcentral describes it as "partial large subunit ribosomal RNA". It matches the Rfam family "Eukaryotic large subunit ribosomal RNA", at positions 40 to 350 of the family's 3401-position model. The record is from RNAcentral.
AUAUCACUAAGCGGAGGAAAAGAAAUUAACGAAGAUUGCCUCAGUGGCGGCGAGCGAAGUGGCAAGAGCUCAAUUCGAAUCUGCGGCCCCCCGGUCGCUGAAUUGUAAUCUGAAGGGGUGGACAAGAGGGGAAGUUGAGGCAUAAGUCGCUUGGAACAGCGCGCCAAAGAGGGUGACAGCCCCGUAUUUGGCCUCGAUUGAACCGAAUGUACGCUUUCAAAGAGUCGGGUUGUUUGGGAUUGCAGCCCUAAAUGGGAGAUAAACUUCUUCUAAGGCUAAAAUAUUGAUGGGAGACCGAUAGCGCACAAGUA